RNAcentral lists this ribosomal RNA (447 nucleotides) under uncultured bacterium. RNAcentral's name for it is "bacterial SSU rRNA". It matches the Rfam family "Bacterial small subunit ribosomal RNA", at positions 329 to 792 of the family's 1533-position model. The record is from RNAcentral.
GUCCAGACUCCUACGGGAGGCAGCAGUGGGGGAUAUUGCACAAUGGGGGGAACCCUGAUGCAGCGACGCCGCGUGGGUGAAGGAGUGCUUCGGCAUGUAAAGCCCUAUCGGCAGGGAAGAAGCAAGACGGUACUUGACUAAGAAGCCCCGGCUAACUACGUGCCAGCAGCCGCGGGAAUACGUAGGUGGCAAGCGUUGUCCGGAUUUACUGGGUAUAAAGGGCGUGUAGCCGGGCCGACAAGUCAGAUGUGAAAUCCGCGGGCUUAACCCGCGAACUGCAUUUGAAACUAUUGGUCUUGAGUACCGGAGAGGUCAUCGGAAUUCCUUGUGUAGCGGUGAAAUGCGUAGAUAUAAGGAAGAACACCAGUGGCGAAGGCGGAUGACUGGACGGCAACUGGCGGUGAGGCGCGAAAGCGUGGGGAGCAAACGGGAUUAGAUACCCCGGUA